RNAcentral lists this unclassified non-coding RNA (200 nucleotides) under Beauveria sp. Its description in RNAcentral is "partial internal transcribed spacer 2". The record is from RNAcentral. Lineage: Eukaryota; Fungi; Ascomycota; Sordariomycetes; Hypocreales; Cordycipitaceae.
UUAAGUUCAGCGGGUAGUCCUACCUGAUCCGAGGUCAACCUUGAAGAGUUGGGCGUUUUACGGCGUGGCCGCACCGCUAUCCCUCUGCGAGCGAAGUACUGCACAGGGGAGGUCACAGUGAGACCGCCACUACGUUUAGGGGACGGCAGCCGCUGGGACGGCCGAUCCCCAACACCAGCGCCCCCCGGACGGUGCCGGAG